UAACCAUAAACGAUGCCGACCAGCGAUUAGGAGCCGUUGAAUACAAAACACCACCAUCGGCGCGGUCGUCCUUGGCGUCGGUCUUUCGGGGCCGGCGCGGGGGCGGCUUAGCCCGGUGGCACCGGUGAAUGACUCCCCGGGCACCUUGUGAGAAAUCAUAAGUGUUUGGGUUUUGGGGGGAGUAUGGUCGCAAGGCUGAAACUUAAAGGAAUUGACGGAAGGGCACCACCAGGAGUGGAACCUGCGGCUUAAUUUGACUCAACACGGGGAAACUUACGAGGUCAGGACACUGUGAGGAUUGACAGAUUGAAAGCUCUUUCUUGAUUCAGUGGGUGGUGGUGCAUGGCCGUUCUUAGUUGGUGGAGUGAUUUGUCUGGUUAAUUCCGUUAACGAACGAGACCUUAACCUGCUAAAUAUGCCGCGCUAACCCGUCCAUCAAAACCCAUGCGUGGCUCACGCGGUCCGCUGCGGGGUGGUGUCGCUUCGCGGCGACGUCAUCCCGCCGGCAGGGCCCGGGUCCGUGUGGGCGGUAGGGUUCGGCGUCCGUGCUUCUUAGAGGGACUGCUGCGCGCCUACCCAGCGGAAGUGUGAGGCAAUAACAGGUCUGUGAUGCUCAUAGAAAGGGCGGAACUCG
Molecule: ribosomal RNA, 634 nt
Filed under: Acanthamoeba sp.
Lineage: Eukaryota; Discosea; Longamoebia; Acanthamoebidae
Description: SSU rRNA
Rfam family: Eukaryotic small subunit ribosomal RNA
Source: RNAcentral